UCGAGGGGUAUAGUAGCAAUACUAGAGACCGGCGCACGGGUGCGUAACGCGUAUGCAACCUACCUUGAACAGGGGAAUAGCCCAGAGAAAUUUGGAUUAAUGCCCCAUGGUAUUUUGAGAUGGCAUCAUCUUAUUAUUAAAGAUUCAUCGGUUCAAGAUGGGCAUGCGUCCCAUUAGUUAGUUGGUAAGGUAACGGCUUACCAAGACAAUGAUGGGUAGGGGUCCUGAGAGGGAGAUCCCCCACACUGGUACUGAGACACGGACCAGACUCCUACGGGAGGCAGCAGUGAGGAAUAUUGGUCAAUGGGCGCAAGCCUGAACCAGCCAUGCCGCGUGCAGGAUUAAGGCCCUAUGGGUUGUAAACUGCUUUUAUACGGGAAGAAACAACGAUUCGUGAAUCGUCUUGACGGUACCGUAAGAAUAAGGAUCGGCUAACUCCGUGCCAGCAGCCGCGGUAAUACGGAGGAUCCAAGCGUUAUCCGGAAUCAUUGGGUUUAAAGGGUCCGUAGGCGGGCCUGUAAGUCAGUGGUGAAAUCUCCCCGCUCAACGGGGAAACGGCCAUUGAUACUGCAGGCCUUGAAUUAUUGGGAAGUAACUAGAAUAUGUAGUGU
RNAcentral lists this ribosomal RNA (611 nucleotides) under uncultured Bacteroidota bacterium. RNAcentral describes it as "bacterial SSU rRNA". It matches the Rfam family "Bacterial small subunit ribosomal RNA", at positions 62 to 676 of the family's 1533-position model. Lineage: Bacteria; Pseudomonadati; Bacteroidota. The record is from RNAcentral.